This 697-nucleotide ribosomal RNA is filed under the name unidentified eukaryote clone OM13. RNAcentral's name for it is "partial 16S ribosomal RNA". It matches the Rfam family "Bacterial small subunit ribosomal RNA". The record is from RNAcentral.
CGAGUUUGAUCAUGGCUCAGGAUGAACGCUGGCGGUAUGCCUAACACAUGCAAGUCGAACGAGAGUUUUUAACUCAAGUGGCGGACGGGUGAGUAACACGUGAGAAUCUACCCUUAGGAGGGGGACAACAGUUGGAAACGACUGCUAAUACCCCAUAUGCUUUCGAGUGAAAUGAUUUUUCGCCUAAGGAAGAGCUCGCGGCUGAUUAGCUAGUUGGUAAGGUAAAGGCUUACCAAGGCGACGAUCAGUAUCUGGUUUGAGAGGACGACCAGACACACUGGAACUGAGACACGGUCCAGGGAACUCUAAAAAGACUGCCGGUUAUAAACCGGAGGAAGGCGGGGAUGACGUCAAGUCAGCAUGCCCCUUACACCCUGGGCUACACACGUGCUACAUUGGGCGAGACAAUGAGAUGCUAAUCUGCGAAGAGGCGCUAAUCUAUAAACUCGUUCUAAGUUCGGAUUGUAGGCUGCAACUCGCCUGCAUGAAGAUGGAAUCGCUAGUAAUCGCUGGUCAGCAUACAGCGGUGAAUCCGUUCCCGGGCCUUGUACACACCGCCCGUCACACCAUGGGAGCUGGUUAUACCCGAAGUCGUUACUCUAACCGUUUGGAGGAGGACGCCUAAGGUAGAAUUAGUGACUAGGGUGAAGUCGUAACAAGGUAACCGUACUGGAAGGUGCGGCUGGAUCACCUCCUU